ACUGCUCAGUAACACGUGGAUAACCUGCCCUGCGGUGGGAAAUAACCCCGGGAAACUGGGGAUAAUGUCCCAUAGGCUACAGAUGCUGGAAUGCUCUGUAACUCAAAGAUUUAUCGCCACAGGAUGGGUCUGCGGCCGAUUAGGUAGUUGUUGGGGUAACGGCCCAACAAGCCUUUGAUCGGUACGGGUUGUGGGAGCAAGAGCCCGGAGAUGGAUUCUGAGACACGAAUCCAGGCCCUACGGGGCGCAGCAGGCGCGAAAACUUUACAAUGCGGGAAACCGUGAUAAGGGAACUCCGAGUGUCCGUAAAUGCGGACUGUCCGUAUGUCUAAAAAGCAUGCGAAGAAAGGGCCGGGCAAGACCGGUGCCAGCCGCCGCGGUAAUACCGGCGGCUCGAGUGGUGGCCACUAUUAUUGGGCUUAAAGCGUUCGUAGCUGGAUCGUUAAGUCUCUUGGGAAAUCUACCGGCUUAACCGAUAGGCGUCCAAGGGAUACUGGCGAUCUAGGGACCGGGAGAGGUGAGGGGUACUUCAGGGGUAGGAGUGAAAUCCUGUAAUCCUUGGGGGACCACCUGUGGCGAAGGCGCCUCACCAGAACGGCUCCGACAGUAAAGGA
This 614-nucleotide ribosomal RNA is filed under the name uncultured Methanomicrobiaceae archaeon. RNAcentral describes it as "SSU rRNA". It matches the Rfam family "Archaeal small subunit ribosomal RNA", at positions 85 to 704 of the family's 1478-position model. The record is from RNAcentral. Lineage: Archaea; Methanobacteriati; Methanobacteriota; Methanomicrobia; Methanomicrobiales; Methanomicrobiaceae.